CCUAGGGGUAGUAGCUAGCUAGAAUCUACUCCUCCCUUCAGCCCACUGCUAGUGGUUACUGGUUGUUGUGGGAGCUGGGGCUAGUAGCUAGCUAGAAUCUACUCUUCCCUUCAGCCCACUGCUAGUGGUUACUGGUUGUUGUGGGAGCUUAUUCCCUCCUGAUUCCAGGAAUCCUCCAACCAAGAUUUUGACUGACUUAUUCAGGUGGACCAGUUUAACAGUAUGAUGAGAGACUGACUUAUUCAGGUGGACCAGUUCAACAGUAUGAUGAGAGACUGACUUAUUCAGGUGGACCAGUUCAACAGUAUGAUGAGAGACUGACUUAUUCAGGUGGACCAGUUCAACAGUAUGAUGAGAGACUGACUUAUUCAGGUGGACCAGUUCAACAGUAUGAUGAGAGACUGACUUAUUCAGGUGGACCAGUUCAACAGUAUGAUGAGAGACUGACUUAUUCAGGUGGACCAGUUCAACAGUAUGAUGAGAGACUGACUUAUUCAGGUGGACCAGUUCAACAGUAUGAUGAGAGACUGACUUAUUCAGGUGGACCAGUUCAACAGUAUGAUGAGAGACUGACAGUGGCUACAGCCUCAUCAUAUCCAGAUUGAUGCUGACAUGAGGAAAUGUAUCAACCCAGACCUCCAUGGGUUGAUACAUUUGAUUUCCA
Molecule: long non-coding RNA, 664 nt
Organism: Oncorhynchus keta (chum salmon)
Lineage: Eukaryota; Metazoa; Chordata; Actinopteri; Salmoniformes; Salmonidae
Exons: 4
Source: RefSeq, a predicted model, not a curated record